Non-coding RNA from Triticum aestivum (bread wheat), 125 nucleotides. The record is from Rfam. NCBI's taxonomy places the organism in Eukaryota, Viridiplantae, Streptophyta, Magnoliopsida, Poales, Poaceae.
AUAGUACUCCCUCCGUCCGGAAAUACUUGUCGGGGGAAUGGAUGUAUCUAGACGCAUUUUAGUUUUAGAUGCAUCCAUCUAUAUCCAUUUCCGCGACAAGUAUUUUCGGACGGAGGGAGUAUUAU